RNAcentral lists this ribosomal RNA (440 nucleotides) under uncultured bacterium. RNAcentral's name for it is "partial 16S ribosomal RNA". It matches the Rfam family "Bacterial small subunit ribosomal RNA", at positions 339 to 795 of the family's 1533-position model. The record is from RNAcentral.
CUACGGGGGGCAGCAGUGAGGAAUAUUGCACAAUGGGGGGAACCCUGAUGCAGCAACGCCGCGUGGAGGAUGACGCAUUUCGGUGUGUAAACUCCUUUUAUAUGUCAAGAAAAUGACGGUAGCAUAUGAAUAAGCACCGGCUAACUCCGUGCCAGCAGCCGCGAGUAAUACGGAGGGUGCAAGCGUUACUCGGAAUCACUGGGCGUAAAGGACGCGUAGGCGGGUUGGAAAGUCAGGUGUGAAAUCCUACAGCUUAACUGUAGAACUGCACUUGAAACUACGAGCCUAGAGUAUGGGAGGGGGAGAUGGAAUUAGUGGUGUAGGGGUAAAAUCCGUAGAUAUCACUAGGAAUACCUAAAGCGAAGGCGAUCUCCUGGAACAUAACUGACGCUAAGGCGUGAAAGCGUGGGGAGCAAACAGGAUUAGAUACCCGGGUAGUC